Molecule: long non-coding RNA, 310 nt
Organism: Notothenia coriiceps (black rockcod)
Lineage: Eukaryota; Metazoa; Chordata; Actinopteri; Perciformes; Nototheniidae
Exons: 3
Source: RefSeq, a predicted model, not a curated record
GUCCCAUCUUAUGGCUUAUACAUUGAGUUUUGUAAGUGCUAUUUUCUGUGGCCAUCUGGGUACGGUCGAGCUGGCAGGGGUGUCUUUGGCUACAUCAGUUAUUAAUGUUAUAGGUAUAUCUGUUGGAAGCGGUUUGGCUUCAGCAUGUGAUACUUUGAUUUCUCAGACCUAUGGGAGCCAAAACCUUCUGAGGAUUGGGGUCAUUCUUCAGAGGGCAAUCCUCAUUUUGUUACUGGCUUGUUUCCCAUGUUGGGCAAUUCUCAUCAACACAGAGGCCCUUCUUUUGGCUGUCAAACAAGAGCCAGAGGUA